GACGAACGCUGGCGGCGUGCUUAACACAUGCAAGUCGAACGCUGAAGCUUGGUGCUUGCGCUGUUUGGAUGAGUGGCGAACGGAUGAGUAAUACGUGAGUCACCUGCUCUUUAUUCUGGGAUAAGCCUGGGAAACUGGGUCUACUACUAGCUAUUACAUCCCACUGCAUGGUGCUGUGUGUCUUGGGUUUUACUGGUUUUGGAUGGGCUCACGUCCUAUCAGCUUGUUGGUGGGGUAAUGGCCUACCAAGGCGACGAUAGGUAGCCGGCCUGAGAGGUUGAACGGAGACGCGAGGACUAAGAGACGGCACAGACGAGAACAGGAGGCAAGAGGGGAGAAUAUUAUACAGUAGGAGGGAGUAAGAGACGAAGACGCUACGUGAGGGAAGACGGUCUGCGGGGAGAGAACCGCAGCCAGCAAAGAAGAAGCGAGAAUGACGGUACCUGAAGAAGAAGCGCCGGCUAACUCCGUG
RNAcentral lists this ribosomal RNA (472 nucleotides) under uncultured bacterium. RNAcentral describes it as "partial 16S ribosomal RNA". It matches the Rfam family "Bacterial small subunit ribosomal RNA", at positions 28 to 507 of the family's 1533-position model. The record is from RNAcentral.